CAUCCUCCGCUCUUUGGUUACUAUCCGCCCUCUUCGGUCGGUGCUAGCUCAACUCCUAGGUUCCGCUCUCUCAAUGCUAGGCAAGGGGCUUGACUCUCCACUCGUCUUUCCUUAAUGCUCGCUUUGCGCUGCUCAGUGUGCUCAAAUGGUUCUGCUUCAUGCUCGGCAACGGGAUCCGCUCUGCUAACUCGAUGGUCAAGUGCGAGCUGCUCUAGUAAGGGUCGCAUCCUGAUCCUGUCCAAUAUUGCUUCCUUUUGUGAAAUCAAUGUGUUCCAAUUUCUGGCCUUGCACUAACCAUCCAAUGGACCAUGGACUAAA
RNAcentral lists this long non-coding RNA (318 nucleotides) under Spirodela polyrhiza (greater duckweed). RNAcentral describes it as "long non-coding RNA (SPOL_LNC002033)". Lineage: Eukaryota; Viridiplantae; Streptophyta; Magnoliopsida; Alismatales; Araceae. The record is from RNAcentral.